RNAcentral lists this transfer RNA (72 nucleotides) under Camelus bactrianus (Bactrian camel). It matches the Rfam family "tRNA". From Rfam's summary of the family: Transfer RNA (tRNA) molecules are approximately 80 nucleotides in length. Their secondary structure includes four short double-helical elements and three loops (D, anti-codon, and T loops). Lineage: Eukaryota; Metazoa; Chordata; Mammalia; Artiodactyla; Camelidae. RNAcentral also lists the same sequence under 1 other name. The record is from Rfam by way of RNAcentral.
GAGGGUAUAGCUCAGUAGUAGAGCACGUGCUUAGCAUGCACGAGGUCCUGGGUUCAAUCCUCAGUAUCUCCA